GACGAACGCUGGCGGCGUGCUUAACACAUGCAAGUCGAACGGAAAGGCCCUGCUUUUGUGGGGUGCUCGAGUGGCGAACGGGUGAGUAACACGUGAGUAACCUGCCCUUGACUUUGGGAUAACUUCAGGAAACUGGGGCUAAUACCGGAUAGGAGCUCCUGCUGCAUGGUGGGGGUUGGAAAGUUUCGGCGGUUGGGGAUGGACUCGCGGCUUAUCAGCUUGUUGGUGGGGUAGUGGCUUACCAAGGCUUUGACGGGUAGCCGGCCUGAGAGGGUGACCGGCCACAUUGGGACUGGGAUACGGCCCAGACUCCUACGGGAGGCAGCAGUGGGGAAUAUUGCACAAUGGGCGGAAGCCCGAUGCAGCAACGCCGCGUGCGGGAUGACGGCCUUCGGGUUGUAAACCGCUUUCGCCUGUGACGAAGCGUGAGUGACGGUAAUGGGUAAAGAAGCACCGGCUAACUACGUG
This 468-nucleotide ribosomal RNA is filed under the name uncultured bacterium. RNAcentral's name for it is "partial 16S ribosomal RNA". It matches the Rfam family "Bacterial small subunit ribosomal RNA", at positions 28 to 507 of the family's 1533-position model. The record is from RNAcentral.